Transfer RNA from Phytophthora megakarya, 65 nucleotides. It matches the Rfam family "tRNA". From Rfam's summary of the family: Transfer RNA (tRNA) molecules are approximately 80 nucleotides in length. Their secondary structure includes four short double-helical elements and three loops (D, anti-codon, and T loops). The record is from Rfam. NCBI's taxonomy places the organism in Eukaryota, Oomycota, Peronosporomycetes, Peronosporales, Peronosporaceae.
AUCACCGUAGCUUAAUGGUAAAGCCCCCGAAAGGGGUGAAGGAGGUUCGAUUCCUCUCGGUGGUA